This 373-nucleotide ribosomal RNA is filed under the name uncultured bacterium. RNAcentral's name for it is "bacterial SSU rRNA". It matches the Rfam family "Bacterial small subunit ribosomal RNA", at positions 67 to 435 of the family's 1533-position model. The record is from RNAcentral.
CGGCAGCAUGAUCUAGCUUGCUAGAUUGAUGGCGAGUGGCGAACGGGUGAGUAAUACAUCGGAACGUGCCCUGUAGUGGGGGAUAACUAGUCGAAAGAUUAGCUUAAUACCACAUACGACCUGAGGGUGAAAGUGGGGGACCGCAAGGCCUCAUGCUAUAGGAGCGGCCGAUGUCUGAUUAGCUAGUUGGUGAGGUAAAGGCUCACCAAGGCGACGAUCUGUAACUGGUCUGAGAGGAUGAUCAGUCACACCGGAACUGAGACACGGUCCGGACUCCUACGGGAGGCAGCAGUGGGGAAUAUUGGACAAUGGGGGCAACCCUGAUCCAGCCAUGCCGCGUGUGUGAAGAAGGCCUUUUGGUUGUAAAGCACUU